GACUAAGCCAUGCGAGUCAUGGGGCGCGCUCUGCGCGCACCGGCGGACGGCUCAGUAACACGUCGGUAACCUACCCUCGGGAGGGGGAUAACCCCGGGAAACUGGGGCUAAUCCCCCAUAGGCCUGAGGUACUGGAAGGUCCUCAGGCCGAAAGGGUCUUUGACCGCCCGAGGAUGGGCCGGCGGCCGAUUAGGUAGUUGGUGGGGUAACGGCCCACCAAGCCGAAGAUCGGUACGGGCCAUGAGAGUGGGAGCCCGGAGAUGGACACUGAGACACGGGUCCAGGCCCUACGGGGCGCAGCAGGCGCGAAACCUCCGCAAUGCGGGCAACCGCGACGGGGGGACCCCCAGUGCCGUGGCAUCGCCACGGCUUUUCCGGAGUGUAAAAAGCUCCGGGAAUAAGGGCUGGGCAAGGCCGGUGGCAGCCGCCGCGGUAAUACCGGCGGCCCGAGUGGUGGCCGCUAUUAUUGGGCCUAAAGCGUCCGUAGCCGGGCCCGUAAGUCCCUGGCGAAAUCCCACGGCUCAACCGUGGGGCUUGCUGGGGAUACUGCGGGCCUUGGGACCGGGAGAGGCCGGGGGUACCCCUGGGGUAGGGGUGAAAUCCUAUAAUCCCAGGGGGACCGCCAGUGGCGAAGGCGCCCGGCUGGAACGGGUCCGACGGUGAGGGACGAAGGCCAGGGGAGCGAACCGGAUUAGAUACCCGGGUAGUCCUGGCUGUAAAGGAUGCGGGCUAGGUGUCGGGUGACUUCGAACUCGCCCGGUGCCGAAG
Molecule: ribosomal RNA, 768 nt
Filed under: Thermococcus sp. Tc55_1
Lineage: Archaea; Methanobacteriati; Methanobacteriota; Thermococci; Thermococcales; Thermococcaceae
Description: bacterial SSU rRNA
Rfam family: Archaeal small subunit ribosomal RNA
Source: RNAcentral